CUUAAGGAAGCGAUUUGUCCACGUUGACACAAAGCGCGCCCUUAAGGAAGCGCUUUUUAUCCACGUGGACAAAGCACUUCCUUGAGG
Non-coding RNA from Gossypium hirsutum (cotton), 87 nucleotides. Lineage: Eukaryota; Viridiplantae; Streptophyta; Magnoliopsida; Malvales; Malvaceae. The record is from Rfam.